AUGGCAGUGCAGGUGGUGCAGGCGGUGCAGGCAGUUCAUCUAGAGUCUGACACUUUCCUUGUUUGUCUCAACCAUGCUCUGAGCACAGAGAAGGAGGAAGUGAUGGGGCUGUGGAUAGGGGAGUUGAACAAUGAUACAAGGAGUGACUCCAAAUUUGCAUAUACUGGAACUGAAAUGCGCACAGUUGCUGAAAAGGUUGAUGCCAUCAGAAUUGUUCACAUUCGUUCUGUCAUCAUCUUAACGACGUUCUGAUAAGAGGAAGGACCAAGUAGAAAUUUCACCAGGGCAGCUGUCUGCAGCUUCAACAGAGGCAGAGAAGUUGGCUGAACUGACAGGCCACCCCAUGAGAGUUGUGGGCUGGUAUCAUUCCCAUCCUCAUAUAACUGUUUGGCCUUCACAUGUUGAUGUUCGCACCCAAGCCAUGUACCAGAUGAUGGAUCAAGGCUUUGUAGGACUUAUUUUUUCCUGUUUCAUAGAAGAUAAGAACACAAGGGCUGGCCGGGUACUCUACACUUGCUUCCAAUCCAUACAGGCCCAAAAGAGUUCAGAGUCCCUUCAUGGUCCACAAGACUUCUGGAGCUCCAGCCAGCACAUCUCCAUUGAGGGCCAGAAGGAAGAGGAAAGGUAUGAGAGAAUCGAAAUCCCAAUCCAUAUUGUACCUCAUGUCACUAUCGGGAAAGCGUGCCUUGAAUCAGCAGUAGAGCUGCCCAAGAUCCUGUGCCAGGAGGAGCAGGAUGCAUAUUGGAGGAUCCACAGCCUUACACAUCUGGACUCAUAACCAAGAUCCAUAAUGGCUCAGUGUUUACCAAGAAUCUGUGCAGUCAGAUGUCAGCAGUCAGCGGGCCUCUUCUACAGUGGUUGGAGGACAGACUGGAGCAAAACCAAUAGCAUUUGCAGGAAUUGCAACAAGAAAAGGAAGAGCUUAUGCAAGAACUUUCUUCUCUGGAAUAA
This 951-nucleotide long non-coding RNA is filed under the name Homo sapiens (human). RNAcentral's name for it is "non-protein coding lnc-ARL10-2:2". The record is from RNAcentral. Lineage: Eukaryota; Metazoa; Chordata; Mammalia; Primates; Hominidae.